This 497-nucleotide ribosomal RNA is filed under the name uncultured bacterium. Its description in RNAcentral is "partial 16S ribosomal RNA". It matches the Rfam family "Bacterial small subunit ribosomal RNA", at positions 30 to 522 of the family's 1533-position model. The record is from RNAcentral.
AUUGAACGCUGGCGGCAUGCCUUACACAUGCAAGUCGAACGGUAACAGGUCUUCGGAUGCUGACGAGUGGCGAACGGGUGAGUAAUGCAUCGGAACGUGCCCAGUUGUGGGGGAUAACUGCUCGAAAGAGCAGCUAAUACCGCAUACGACCUGAGGGUGAAAGCGGGGGAUCGCAAGACCUCGCGCAGUUGGAGCGGCCGAUGUCAGAUUAGGUAGUUGGUGGGGUAAAGGCCUACCAAGCCGACGAUCUGUAGUUGGUCUGAGAGGACGACCAGCCACACUGGGACUGAGACACGUCCCAGACUCCUACGGGAGGCAGCAGUGGGGAAUUUUGGACAAUGGGCGCAAGCCUGAUCCAGCAAUGCCGCGUGCAGGAAGAAGGCCUUCGGGUUGUAAACUGCUUUUGUCAGGGAAGAAAUCCUCUGGGUUAAUACCCCGGGGGGAUGACGGUACCUGAAGAAUAAGCACCGGCUAACUACGUGCCAGCCGCCGCGGUA